Molecule: long non-coding RNA, 409 nt
Organism: Meriones unguiculatus (Mongolian gerbil)
Lineage: Eukaryota; Metazoa; Chordata; Mammalia; Rodentia; Muridae
Exons: 3
Source: RefSeq, a predicted model, not a curated record
AGUCCCUUGGCCAACAGGGAAGCCAUUUCAGAGCCAGGUAGGCCCAGUAUGGGCAUUCGGGACAGCACAUCUAAGGUGACAGAAAUGCUUUACGUUUUAUAAAAUCAGCCUCCCUGUUUUCUCCUGGGAUCUGUUUAUAGGCCACGCUUUGAGUCCUGGGAAAUGACACCACUGAAGACAAGUCCAGGAGAGAUCUGGAUAUAGCACUCUCAACUUCCAUGUCUGCCCUUGAGUCACUGUGCUCCCAACAUGAGGAUAAUGAACUAAACCUCUGAAACUUCUUUGAAGUUAUACUAAGAAAACUUCCCACUGUGCUUCAUUUAUAAAGAUAAAUACUCAUCAGUAUUUUCUUUCACUUUUAAUGGACAAAUUAAAGUGCUUGCAUUUAACUUUCAUUUAUGAUUUAAAC